This 468-nucleotide ribosomal RNA is filed under the name uncultured bacterium. RNAcentral describes it as "partial 16S ribosomal RNA". It matches the Rfam family "Bacterial small subunit ribosomal RNA", at positions 28 to 507 of the family's 1533-position model. The record is from RNAcentral.
GACGAACGCUGGCGGCGUGCUUAACACAUGCAAGUCGAACGGAAAGGCCCUGCUUUUGUGGGGUGCUCGAGUGGCGAACGGGUGAGUAACACGUGAGUAACCUGCCCUUGACUUUGGGAUAACUUCAGGAAACUGGGGCUAAUACCGGAUAGGAGCUCCUGCUGCAUGGUGGGGGUUGGAAAGUUUCGGCGGUUGGGGAUGGACUCGCGGCUUAUCAGCUUGUUGGUGGGGUAGUGUCUUACCACGGCUUUGACGGGUCGCCGGCCUGAGAGGGUGACCGGCCAAAUUGGGACGGAGAUAGGGCCCAGACCCCUACGGGAGGAAGCGGGGGGGAAUAUGGCACAAGGGGGCGAGGCCGGAUGAAGCAACGCCGGGGGGGGGAGGCCGGCCUUCGGGUGUUAAACCGCUUCCGCCUGUGACGAGGCGUGUGUGACGGUAAUGGGUAAAGAAGCACCGGCUAACUACGUG